Molecule: ribosomal RNA, 226 nt
Filed under: uncultured bacterium
Lineage: Bacteria
Description: partial 16S ribosomal RNA
Rfam family: Bacterial small subunit ribosomal RNA
Source: RNAcentral
UGAGCAAUCUGCCCUUGACUCUUGGAUAACUGCGGGAAACUGUAGCUAAUACCGGAUACGACCUGAAGAGGCAUCUUUUUGGGUGGAAAGAAUUUUUGGUCAAGGAUGAGCUCGCGGCCUAUCAGCUAGUUGGUGAGGUAACGGCUCACCAAGGCAACGACGGGUAGCUGGUCUGAGAGGAUGGCCAGCCACAUUGGGACUGAGACACGGCCCAGACUCCUAGGAG